This 390-nucleotide long non-coding RNA is filed under the name Elaeis guineensis (African oil palm). Its description in RNAcentral is "long non-coding RNA (EGUI_LNC082247)". The record is from RNAcentral. Lineage: Eukaryota; Viridiplantae; Streptophyta; Magnoliopsida; Arecales; Arecaceae.
CCAUGAUUCACUAAUACUUAGUAAAUAACCUAAUUACAAUAUUUGCAUAAAGUUAAUCAUCAAUUAUAUUGACGAUUUUAUCCUUCAAUGAUUCAUAAUCAUCGAUCAGCCAUCUGAUCGACAAGAAUCUCUUUUAUAUGUAACUCCAAAGAUUCUAUUCUGUCUGAUAGUGAGAUAUAUUAUGAUCUACAUCAUAAUAUCAUCGAAACUCCUUUCUAUGGGUUAGAAAAUUUUAACUCUGUCCUUCGAGGGUCAUCAAUCAUCAAGACGACAUCCGGUGAGUCUCACAAUCUACCAAUGACAUCUAGCAGUAUAUAAUAACAAUUCAGUAGAAUAAAAGUAUGAACCCCUAGGUGCAGUUACUGUGUAAUUCAGUCCUUCUAUCGUGAG